UUCCUUGAUCAAAUAGAUCCACCUAUCACAGGAUUCCACAUUUCAUCUACGAAAUUGCAGGCGCAAAUCAUACGUACUCACGUCUGUUUUUAUUUUUAUCCCCUGCUUCCUCUUCUCCCAAAUGCUCAGCGCUUGCCCUGGCUCAGAAUCGAGACUCCUCUCACCCUGUUUUCACUCGUUGCUUCUCUGUGUUCACUUAAACCUAAAUCUAGUCCCAUGGCGUCUACUUCUACAACCUCUGCUCGACCAGAAUCAGAGACUGUUAUGGCUGCUUUUCAUGAAAUCGCUCCAUCUACUUCGGGUAUCGGGUACAUCCUCAGCACUCAUCCAAAAACCAGCUUUCCAUGUAUUCAUUAAUCAUCGUGGACCAGAUGUAAAAAGAACUUUAGCUACCAGGAUCUACAAUGUUCUGGCUGACAUAAAGGUUACAGCUUUUCUAGAUUCAGAGAAGUUGGAAUACGGCGAUUUCUUGCCUACAACAAUAGAAGCAGCAAUCCGUGGUGCUACCCUUCAUAUAGCAAUCUUUUCAAAAAGUAUGCAGAAUCACCUUGGUGUUUGGCAGAACUCUCAUCUAUGCUUAAAAGUGGCGCCAAAAUUGUUCCCGUGUUCUACCAUGUGGAGCCCAAUGAUCUCAGAUAUGUAGCUCAAAGGAAAGGAGUGUACGUCGAUACCUUUGAGAGACAUAAAGAGAAAGGUAGAUACAGCCCAGAAAAGAUUCAGGAGUGGGAAGAUGCACUCUACAAGGUCUCAUUUUACAGUGGCGAAAUCAUCAAUAAUAAUGAUGAUGAGGUGAAGCUGUUGAAGAAUAUUGUAAAUAUUGUACUGAAAGAAAUAAGCAAUGUGCCACUAGUAGUUGCAAAACAUCCAGUAGGUCUCAAUGAAGCCGUAGAAGACUUUGAGAAUACACUCCAACUUGCCCAGGGUGAUCAGGGUGCACAAAUUGUGGGCAUUUGGGGGAUGGGUGGUUUGGGCAAGCCCACGCUGGCCAAGCAAUUAUACAACAAUAGAUGUUCGUCCAUGGAAAGGUCUAGUUUUAUUUUUGAUAUCAGAGAUGCCAAAGGGGUGUUGCAGAACAAGCAGAUUCAACUCCUCAAAGACCUUGGUGUGAAUCAAACAUUUGACAAUGUGGAGCAAGGUAAAGCAAUUCUUGUAAAGCAUUUGAGAUCUUUCAGGGUGUUCAUUGUUAUGGAUGAUGUGGAUCAUGCUGAUCAAUUAGAUGCUCUAAUACCUGUAAAAGCAAGUCUUAAAAGGGGGAGGCUUGUAAUUGUUACAACUCGAGAAUGUGAAGUUCUUACAUCUUGGGGUAUAUCCCUCAUAUAUAAAAUGAAAGAAUUAGAUCCAUUUAAUGCUGAGCAACUUUUCUGUUGGCAUGCUUUCUUACAAUCUUAUCCUUUUGAUGGAUUUGAGGAGCUUGUUAAAAAUUUCGUAGAGGCUUGCCACGGAUUGCCUUUAUCUCUUAAGGUGUUUGGAGCACAAUUGUAUGGAAAUUUUCACAAACAAUCAUGGGAGUCUUUGUUUCAUAAGAUCUCAAGAAUAUUGCCUAAUGAUAUCAAAGAGAGACUCAAAGUAAGUUAUGAUGCUCUUGAUGAUGAAGAGAAAGAGGCAUUCCUUGACAUUCCCUGUUUUUUUAUUGGAGAAAGGAAAAGUUUGGCUAUUGAAAUCUGUGAUGGAUCAGGAUGGAGUGGUCUGUACAGUUGGGAAAGGCUUCUAAAUAAAUGUUUGGUUAAAUAAAUGUUUGGUUGAGCUUGAUCAUGACGAUCACAUAAGAAUGCAUGACCACAUAAGAAAUCUAGGAAGAAAAAUUGCAAAUCAACAUAUACCCUCCCGACUUUGGUCAGUAAACAAUGGAAAGGAAAACCUUUGUACACGUUUGCUUGUGCCUAUUGAUCAUGUUAGAUAGCUAUUUAAAAAGACAGUCUCACUAGAAAUACCUAUUUACUCUGUAUGUGUUUAAAUAGCCAAUGAGUUUAUCUCGAUUUUUAUUUGUGUUUUCAGAAAAUAAAUGCCAUUCGAGGAAUGAAGGCUGUCCCAAAUUGGAAUUAAAAAGCGAAGGCCAUAUGGUGCGUGUUUGUCUCUGUUUUGUGGUUGCUGCUCACAGGAGGAACUCACACCUAAUAUAAGUCGAAGAAUUUUGUUGCCUGCAUCCUCUUUAGUUGGACUAAAGCUUUUGGUGAUUAAAGGAGAUUAUUUUAAUCAAGUAAUCGGUGAAGUAUCAAGGGAGCUGGUCUGGCUUCGCUGGCUCCGAAUUGGCCAGAGAAAUCUUCCGACAUGGCUUUCAUUGAAAAAUUUGAGGGUUUCAGAGCUACAGGAAGAAUAUGAAGGAGGAUAUCAGUUAGAAGAGUUGUGGAAUGCUGAGAGCGACGCUCCCCUGCAGUUGAGAGAGUUGGUUAUUUCUUUUUGCAACAGAUUCCAAAGACUUCCAAACUCAAUAGGGUGUCUCAAAGAGUUGAAAAAGAUAGUAAUCAAAGGUGGCAAUGUAAGGAGUCUGCCAGAAGAAUUUUGCCUUCUGCAAUUGUUGGAGCACCUCGAAUUACUGUCAUGUGGCAUGCUAUCAUCACUACCCAGCAAGUUUGGUGAUUUGACAAAUCUGCGGUAUCUAGAUUUGUCCCGUUGCAUGAACUUGAGGAGGUUACCAGUUUCUUUUAAGAACUUGAUGCUGCUGCAACAUCUCAAUUUACAGAUGUGUAGGGAGCUCAUACUUAUGUCAGAUGAUUUCCAAAACAUAACAAAGCUGGAGUUUUUGCGCCUUUCUGAGUGCAAGCAAUUGGAAGAGUUGCCAAGUCAUAUCACAAAUCAGGCGUCAUUGAGAGAGCUCUAUUUAGAUGGUGUGGUGAGCUUAAAUGAGCUACCAAUUAAAAUCGGUCAACUGAGCAAGCUGCGAAAGGUGAAGAUUAGAAGUGAGUUAUUGAUAAGUUUGCCAAACUCUCUUGGAUAUUUGUCCUCCUUGACUGAUCUUUUAAUUGAGGAUUGUAGCAACCUGGAAUCUUUGCCGACCUCUCUUGGAGAUUUGUUCUCUUUGACUGAUCUUAGAAUUCAGAAUUGUCCAAAGCUGAAAUGUUUACCGUUCUCUGUCGGGCGCCUUAAUCUAUUAGAGCAUUUAAACAUUUCCUGGUGCCCAAUCAGCCAAGUAGAUUUUGGUGUGGCGUCUUCAUCUUUUGCAUUGAGCAACCUGAAGUGGAUGAAACUAGAGGAAACCGAAUUGUGCAAGAUUUCAAUUUCUGAAGACCGCUAUCCUCUCCUUAAGACACUGCAAUUUCUCAGCAAUUAUCAUUUAGUGGAAAUCGAAGCACUGCCAGCAAGUGUUGAAUGUCUCUAUAUACGGGAGUGUCCAAAGUUAGAGGAGCUUCCGAGUUUUGCACGAUUAACUUCUUUCAGAAAAUUUGUAGUAAGAGGUUGCAACCGAAUUGAGAAAAUCGAAGGUUUAAAAUAUUGCACAAGAUUGGAAAUAUUGAGAUUACACACCUGUUGGGAGGUGCCAGGCAUAGAAAGUUUGCAGCAGAUGGAAAAAUUGAGGAGGCUGGAACUGAAAGCAAACAAAGGAUCAGCUAUUGACAGUUGCAUUCAAAGGGUACAGGUAAAAAACAAUCUCUAGGAAUAGAAUAUUUUAAUUAUCUUCAUCUAAUUGUGCAUUGACUGAAUGUUGUGCAAGGAAUUUGCAGAAAUGGCCAGAUGGAGUGAUAAUAUGUACAAGGGCCUUCUCUGAUGCAUCCUCAGUUGUAGACUCCUUACUACUCUCUCCGAAUCUCAUUCUCGUUGACUCCUUCUCUAGGAGGGAUUUUUACUCCGUCCCAGAAUUGCUACAGAAGCAUUCCUACAAUGGCAACACCAUUAUGCUGUGUUAUAUUAUAAAUUGUGUUUCUGUCAGACAAAUGGAAAUUUACUUAGAGCAGAGUAAUGUUGGAAUAUCUCCGAUGAUGGAGAUAGAGGAGGGUAGAUGGGCAUAGAUAGUUGUUUUCACACAACUUUCUGGAUUGUUGGAAGCAAAGGUUCGCUUCAGUCUCUCAACAGAAGACCGCUCUGCAGAGGAGGCAAAAGUGGAAGUGGAGAGAGGUUUGGCUGUGAGAGGGGAACAUAAAUUAUUAAUGGAGGCAUUAUUGUCAGUUUUACGAAGCAUUUGAAAAUCAUUGUAGGCGGAAAGUGUGGAGCUAAUUACGCGGAAGACUUUUCCUAUUGUACAUAUGCUGAUUGCAUUUGCUUGAAAAUAUCCAAGGCUUUAUCAACAAGCCCAAUAUGUAAAUGUCCAGCUAUAAUUGCAGUCCACGAAACCAAAUCUCUUUCAGGCAUAUCGUCGAACAAUCUGUGCGCCUUUUGUAUGUUUCCACAUUUUGCAUACGUAUCAAUCAGGGCAGCCACAACUACAACAUCCCUUAAAAACCCAAAUUUUUAUGAUUAUUUGGUGCAUCUCCAUUGCCAAUUUCAAAUCUCCCAUUUUGGCACAAACUGGGAGGAUGCUGGCAAAGGUUGCCGAGUUCGGCUCUAUGUCGGUCAACUGCAUUUGCUCAAAAAUCAUCGAGGCCUUUUCAACAAGCCCAUGUUGCUCAUAUCCAGCUAUGAUUGCAUUCCAUGGCACCAUAUCUCUUUGAGGUAUUUUGUCAAACUCUUGGUGCGCACCAUCCAUUUCGCAUACAUGUCCAUCGGGUACUCAUCACACCAACAUUAGAUUGAAACCCGCAUCUAAGUAUUCUUCCAUGGAUCUACAAACCAUGUUUUGGAGAAGCCACAUGGGAUUAUAAAGGGAGAAAAGCGGAGAAGGUGAAGUGAUCAGGCUGGACGAUUGUUCUCUGCAUUUGGUAAAACAGUGUGAAUACCUCUGAUAUAGUGAACUCUGUCUUUAAAACAGUGUGAAUACCUCUGAUAUAGUGAACUCUGUCUUUACCUUGUAGCCAUAAAUGAGAGGUUAACUACCUAGUAGGCAUUCUACCUUCCUUUUCAGUAGUCUUGACUAUGAUGCGGAGGACUACUUCUCAUUGUGUUACAAGCAUUUCAUUUUUCAA
Cryptomeria japonica (Japanese cedar) is the source of this 4994-nucleotide RNA transcript. It is a transcript of the gene named disease resistance protein TAO1, with no coding region annotated. The transcript is spliced from 3 exons. Lineage: Eukaryota; Viridiplantae; Streptophyta; Pinopsida; Cupressales; Cupressaceae. The record is from RefSeq and is a predicted model, not a curated record.